Molecule: ribosomal RNA, 406 nt
Filed under: uncultured bacterium
Lineage: Bacteria
Description: partial 16S ribosomal RNA
Rfam family: Bacterial small subunit ribosomal RNA
Source: RNAcentral
AUUGAACGCUGGCGGCAGGCCUAACACAUGCAAGUCGAGCGAGCGGCGGACGGGUGAGUAAUGUCUGGGAAACUGCCUGAUGGAGGGGGAUAACUACUGGAAACGGUAGCUAAUACCGCAUACCAUCAGAUGUGCCCAGAUGGGUUUGGCUGGUUGGUGGGGUAACGGCUCACCUAGGCGACGAACCCUAGCUGGUCUGAGAGGAUGACCAGCAACACGGGAACUGGGACACGGUCCAGACUCCUACGGGAGGCAGAAGUGGGGAAUAUUGCACAAUGGGCGCAAGCCGGAUGCAGCCAUGCCGCGUGUGUGAAGAGGGCCUUCGGGUUGUAAAGCACUUUCAGCGGGGAGGCGUUACCCGCAGAAGAAGCACCGGCUAACUCCGUGCCAGCAGCCGCGGUAAUUC